GCCGCUUUAGCUCAGUGGCAAAGCGCUGGUCUUGUAAACCAGCGGUCGUGAGUUCGAUCCUCACUGGCGGCU
RNAcentral lists this transfer RNA (72 nucleotides) under Rhipicephalus microplus (southern cattle tick). Its description in RNAcentral is "tRNA-Thr". It matches the Rfam family "tRNA". From Rfam's summary of the family: Transfer RNA (tRNA) molecules are approximately 80 nucleotides in length. Their secondary structure includes four short double-helical elements and three loops (D, anti-codon, and T loops). Lineage: Eukaryota; Metazoa; Arthropoda; Arachnida; Ixodida; Ixodidae. The record is from Rfam by way of RNAcentral.